Molecule: long non-coding RNA, 522 nt
Organism: Harpegnathos saltator (Jerdon's jumping ant)
Lineage: Eukaryota; Metazoa; Arthropoda; Insecta; Hymenoptera; Formicidae
Exons: 3
Source: RefSeq, a predicted model, not a curated record
AGUUUCCACGUAUACAUAGUUCAACCUCAAUAUUAAUGUAUGAUCAUAAACUUUUAAAUUAGCAGUUUGUAUUAUAAUUUUUCAAAAGAAUUGUUUAUUAACUCUCGUAACAAACCACGCAAUUCUACAACCAAGCGCGGCCUCGUGGAGACAACACGUAACUGAUCCUUUGAAAUAUACAAUAAUAAACUCUUAUAUCCACUAUGCGAAACAACCUCUUGAAACAACCUCUCCUGAUGCAGUUAUGAAUGUGAUCAGAGAUGUAUCAGCAAGUAAACCAGUAAACAAAAUCGACAAACAUAAUGUGCAAUGUACAUUAUUGUACAAUUUCAUUAAAAAUCAGAAACUUUCACCCUGUGAUCCUCCCACCGUUCCGGAAUUUUCUUGAUGCUCGGCCCGUCAACGAAGCAUUUCGUGAUCAUAAGUAAAACCGUCUCGACAUCUUUCAUGGUGGACAUAUAGCCGAAUGAAAUUCUCACUGCUCCAGUUGGCCUUCCAUUGAUUAAAUCUACAGUACCGCCG